Molecule: ribosomal RNA, 251 nt
Filed under: uncultured bacterium
Lineage: Bacteria
Description: partial 16S ribosomal RNA
Rfam family: Bacterial small subunit ribosomal RNA
Source: RNAcentral
ACGUAGGGGGCAAGCGUUAUCCGGAUUUACUGGGUGUAAAGGGAGCGUAGACGGCAAGGCAAGUCUGAUGUGAAAACCCAGGGCUUAACUCUGGGACUGCAUUGGAAACUGUCUGGCUCGAGUGCCGGAGAGGUAAGCGGAAUUCCUAGUGUAGCGGUGAAAUGCGUAGAUAUUAGGAAGAACACCAGUGGCGAAGGCGGCUUACUGGACGGUAACUGACGUUGAGGCUCGAAAGCGUGGGGAGCAAACAG